CCUACGGGAGGCAGCAGUGAGGAAUAUUGGUCAAUGGGCGCGAGCCUGAACCAGCCAAGCCGCGUGAAGGAUGACGGCCCUACGGGUUGUAAACUUCUUUUAUAAAGGAAUAAAGUGAGGCACGUGUGCCUUUUUGUAUGUAUCUUAUGAAUAAGGAUCGGCUAACUCCGUGCCAGCAGCCGCGGUAAUACGGAGGAUCCGAGCGUUAUCCGGAUUUAUUGGGUUUAAAGGGGGCGUAGAUGGGUUGGUAAGUUAGUUGUGAAAGUUCGGGGCUCAACCCUCAAAUUGCAGUUGAUACUGGCAGACUAGAGAAGAGGUGAGGUAGGCGGAAUGUGUGGUGUAGCGGUGAAAUGCUUAGAUAUCACGAAGAACUCCGAUUGCGAAGGCAGCCUACUAAACUGCCACUGACGUUGAUGCUCGAAAGUGUGGGUAUCAAACAGGAUUAGAUACCCUGGUAGUC
RNAcentral lists this ribosomal RNA (460 nucleotides) under uncultured bacterium. Its description in RNAcentral is "partial 16S ribosomal RNA". It matches the Rfam family "Bacterial small subunit ribosomal RNA", at positions 338 to 795 of the family's 1533-position model. The record is from RNAcentral.